This 465-nucleotide ribosomal RNA is filed under the name uncultured bacterium. RNAcentral describes it as "bacterial SSU rRNA". It matches the Rfam family "Bacterial small subunit ribosomal RNA", at positions 338 to 795 of the family's 1533-position model. The record is from RNAcentral.
CCUACGGGGGGCAGCAGUGGGGAAUAUUGCACAAUGGGCGCAAGCCUGAUGCAGCCAUGCCGCGUGUAUGAAGAAGGCCUUCGGGUUGUAAAGUACUUUCAGCGGGGAGGAAGGUGUUGAGGUUAAUAGCCUCAGCAAUUGACGUUACCCGCAGAAGAAGCACCGGCUAACUCCGUGCCAGCAGCCGCGGUAAUACGGAGGGUGCAAGCGUUAAUCGGAAUUACUGGGCGUAAAGCGCACGCAGGCGGUCUGUCAAGUCGGAUGUGAAAUCCCCGGGCUCAACCUGGGAACUGCAUUCGAGACUGGCAGGCUAGAGUCUUGUAGAGGGGGGUAGAAUUCCAGGUGUAGCGGUGAAAUGCGUAGAGAUCUGGAGGAAUACCGGUGGCGAAGGCGACCCCCUGGACAAAGACUGACGCUCAGGUGCGAAAGCGUGGGGAGCAAACAGGAUUAGAUACCCUCGUAGUC